Molecule: long non-coding RNA, 3385 nt
Filed under: Xyrichtys novacula (pearly razorfish)
Lineage: Eukaryota; Metazoa; Chordata; Actinopteri; Labriformes; Labridae
Source: RNAcentral
GAGCCGUGUCGCGUCCCCCCCCCAAACGUGCUGCCUCCCCGUCCCAUUUGUGUCCUCUGGCCAUCGCCCUCUCUGGUAACGCCCAUCACUGCAAAGACCCUUUUCCUUCAUCGGCGUUUGCUGUUCUUCUUGCCAGUGCGUGUUGCUUUCACUUACACUUGCCACAGCCAGCCUCGUGAGUGCCUAGCCUAUUGGAUAUCACUGUCACCUACACAGGACAGUCAUUACCUUUCUAUUAAUACUUUGUGUUUUAAUUUCACAUUAAUUUCCAUAUUGUAUAAACGACUGGAAAAAACUUGAGCCCCUGCCCCUGUAUAAUCAUGUGCAUGUCUCUGUUCUAGCUCCAAGGUGAAUCUUCACAGCUCAUGUUCUCCUCAGAAGCACUCACCUCACUCCCCUCAGGUUACUGUACACAUGCACCAACUGCCUGCUUCAGGUUUGGAUGGAGCUUCAUGGUUGUCUUUUGGAGAAAUGACCAGUCAAGUUGUGUUUGAAAUUUGAUUUUUUUCAGGGGCAAAAGGAGCCUCUGCAUUCUUGUCAAAUAUGUAAAUAGCAUGUUUUUGCAGGUGCUAAAAACCAGACUCUGAGUGUGUGUGUGUGUGUGUGUGUGCGUGUGUGUGUGCGUGUGUGUGUGUCUGUGUGUGCGUUCAAGUCACAUGACAUAUUUAACCGGAUGUAGCUGCAAGACGGAGCCUCGUUGACUCUCCGUUUCAACUUAUCUCAAAAGUGAGGACCUCAACCUAUAUACCAGUUUUUAAAUUGUGUUGAUAGGCCAAAUAAAACCAGAGUUAUGAUAAAUUAUGUCCGCGAUACUUUUUUUCUGCUUAUUUUGAUCACGUUCGGCGCUCGAUCGCGCUGUAUGAGACAGGAAUACAUAGCAUGCAGACAUUAGCGACAGGUCUUACAGGCGGAAAAGGCUUGCCAAAAGAAAAAAAAAACACACCACAACAUCUCUCCUAUUGGUGGAAAACUUCACCACAACAACCAAUCCAAAAUUAUAUGGUGACUGAUUGACAAGGGGCGGGCGCUUACGUUCUUCCUGCAACAUGAGAAGCGAGGGAGGGACUCUCAGCAGGGAUGCAGUCUGGGACACGUAGUUGCAAACCUAGCGACUUUGUUGUUAGAUUCAAUGACUUUUCAGACCCCCUAACGACUUUUUUUUAGAAAGAAAGGGACUUUUAUCGACUUCUUCUGGAGUUUAGAGACUCUGACAUGAAGCAGGCUUUCCUUACUGAGGAGUUAGCAACGCUGCUAAGGGUGCAGAGCCACACAUGCGCUCAGAGCUCUGCAUGGGAGACUGAAGCUGACAGAGCUGCAGCAGUUAGCAGGUUUCACCCUCAGAGACCACCAGGGGUUCAUGUUGAGGCAUUUUAAAUUUUUAUUUUUUUUUGUGCCAUAGACACUGUCAGCACAAUCUGCAGUUACACUAACAAAAAUGCUGCAAAAAACAAAGAAUUAUGGAAAAAUUACACAUGGACUGACAUAGAGGAGGAUCUACACAAGUUUUUUACAUCAUGUUUUACAUCAUGCAUCAUUUACAUCAUGUUUUUUUGUAGUGGCAUAAAUAAAAAGUGACAUUUGUGAGACUAUACAGUGUUUUGUAAAUAAUUUUACAAAGAACGCCUGGGCCAUUGCCUGCAUUUUGAUGUAAAUAGAGGUAAAUCACUAUGUUCUUUGUUAAAAAUUUGCAUAUGUUUUGAAGUUUACAAUUUUUAUUUGAAGUUUAAGUUUUAAAAACAGUUCAUCACACAUAUUUGUGGUUUUCACAGUAAAAAUGUUACUUUUUUCCACUUGGAUUUUAUGUUUUGUGUUUGAAUUUGGGUCCAUUGUGUAAAUUCAGUAUGUCAACAUGAUAAAAUAACUGUAAAUUCGCACAGGUGAGGUUGUGCUGAAAAAAAUGAUACCAGGCAAGGCACGUGAUUGUCAAAUUUUGUGUCAAUAUGACAAAGCGUAUAGGCGUGAAUCUCAACAAUAUGUAUUUUCACCUUAGGGGACAAGAAAAAAUUGACUUUUUUUCCCUGCCAUGGGGGGGCGCUCUUUUGGGGAGUAAAAAUUCCUUCACAAAUGUGUUGAUGGCUGGACAUUGCAUCAUCCUAGAAAACUUGGAGGCCAGUGAGGACAAAAAUAAAAAGUUAUAAGACUUUUAAAUAUGUGGAUUUUAGGGUUAUCUUUGGCGCCCCCUAGAACCUAAACCGUGGGGUGCAGUGUCAUGAUUUGAAUAACUUUUAAUGGCCAUGGGGUGUAGAUUGGCCUGAGCAAAUGUGGUGCCGGUGGAACGAAAGCCUUAGGAGGAGUUAGCCACAUUCCAAUGUGUGCGGAUCGGCAAAAAAUGCGGAAUAACCCUUUAACCGUACAUUUGACAGAUACGCGCGCAUUGACUUUUUCGUAGAUCUUAUUGAGUUACAUGUGUGUGUCAAUUUUUGUGUCAUUUUGACAAAGCGUAUAGGCGUGACACUCAACAAUGUGUAUUUUCACCUUAGGGGACAAGAAAAAAUGGACUUUUUUCUCCUGCCAUGGGGGGGCGCUCUUUUGGGGAGUAAAAAUUCCUUCACAAAUGUGUUGAUGGCUGGACAUUGCAUCAUCCUAGAAAACUUGGGGGCCAGUGAGGGCAAAAAUAAAAAGUUAUAAGACUUUUAAAUAUGUGGAUCUUAGGGUUAUCUUUGGCGCCCCCUAGAACCUAAACCGUGGGGUACAGCAUCAUGAUUUGAAUAACUUUUAAUGGCCAUGGGGUGUAGAUUGGCCUGAGCAAAUGUGGUGCCGGUGGAACGAAAGCCUUCGGAGGAGUUAGCGAAAUUGCAAUGUGUGCGGAUCGGCAAAAAAUGCGAAAUAACCCUUUAACCGUACAUUUGACAGAUACGCCCGCACUGACUUUUUUGUAGAUCUUAUUGAGAUACAUGUGUGUGUCAAUUUUUGUGUCAUUUUGACAAAGCGUACAGGCGUGACAGUCAAUAGUGUGAAUUUUCACCUUAGGGGGCGCUAUGGAGCCAUUUUGCAUUUUCUUGUUUGGGCGACUUCGGAAUAUCAAAUUUUUCACCAGGCCCGGUCGUCCUGCCAAAUUUCAUGAGUUUUCGCCAGUGGGAAGUGGGCCAUUUUCCAGUUCAAAGGGGAGGAAAAAUAAUAAUAAUAACAAACUAGGACCCCGUUGGGGCACUGGCGGGCCCGAGCUGUGUCGCGUCCCCCCCCAACGCGCUGCCUCCCCGUCCCAUUUGUGUCCUCUGGCCAUCGCCCUCUUUGGUAACGCCCAUCACUGCAAAGACCCUUUUCCUUCAUCGGCGUUUGCUGUUCUUCCUGCCAGUGCGUGUUGCUUUCACUUACACUUGCCACAGCCAGCCUCGUGAGUGCCUAGCCUAUUGGAUAUCACUGUCACCUACACAGGACAGUCAUU